AGACCCGGCGCGGGUCUAGCGGCGAGGCUGCUCUCUAGCAGAGGGGCCGCGGAUUGGGUGGGCAAGGCUACCCGGCAGGGAGUCUCCAGCAAGAUACAUCUUUCUUUCUUUCGGAGAGGGGUCUCCUGGAGAAGUGGGAGGAGUCCUUCCAGAGAAGGUCCCUGGAGUUAGCAAAAGAGGAGGUGGAACCCCUGAAUGAUAACAGACUAUGCUCCCCACGCUAGCAUCUUUGGCAAACAGAACCCUAUACUCCUGCUGUCUUUGAUGGGAACAAUAAUACUACCUAUCAUAAGAUCAUUGUGAGGGUUAGAUGAGUGAAUACGCAUGAAGAAUAUAAAUGUGCAUGGGGGACUUCCCUGGUCCAGUGGAUGGGACUCUACAUAUCCACUGCAGGGGGCAGGGUUCAAUCCCUGGUCUCGGAACUAGGAGUUCUCAUGGCACAACUAAAGAGCCCACAUGCCUCAAGGAAGAUGGAAGAGCCUGCAUGCCACAACUAAGACCC
This is a long non-coding RNA of Bos taurus (domestic cattle), 502 nucleotides long. The record is from Ensembl. NCBI's taxonomy places the organism in Eukaryota, Metazoa, Chordata, Mammalia, Artiodactyla, Bovidae.